AGAAAACCUAAUUAUCAGGCAGGUAAAUUUGUUUACUAUGUAGGACACGCAAAUCAUAUAUUCAGAAUAUACAAGAAAAAUUUAUGAAGCAAGAAAAAGAAAAACAGCCAACCAACAAGGAAAACUGGGCAAAAUUUAAAAGUGGACCACCCACAGGGGUCUGUUGAGGAAAAAGAACAUUGGCCCAUAAUGGGCAGCAGUGUUGGAGAGGCUGGUUUGUUCCAGUCAUCGCAAGAAUGCUCUCCAGCUCAUGAUCCACCUUUCUUUAAGAGACACAGAAAGCACUUUCUGCUCAUUGCCUUGGAUAAAAGAAAACACGACACACAAGACAGCCAAG
Molecule: long non-coding RNA, 337 nt
Filed under: Fukomys damarensis (Damara mole-rat)
Lineage: Eukaryota; Metazoa; Chordata; Mammalia; Rodentia; Bathyergidae
Description: lncRNA (ENSFDAG00000031332.1)
Source: RNAcentral